GCGUGAGUGAGGAAGGCUUUCGGGUCGUAAAGCUCUGUUGCCAGGGAAGAAUAAGGAUCAUUUAACUGAUGAUCCGAUGACGGUACCUGAGAAGAAAGCCCCGGCUAACUACGUGCCAGCAGCCGCGGUAAUACGUAGGGGGCAAGCGUUGUCCGGAAUUAUUGGGCGUAAAGCGCGCGCAGGCGGCUCUUUAAGUCUGGUGUUUAAGUGCGGGGCUCAACCCCGUGACGCACUGGAAACUGGGGAGCUUGAGUGCAGAAGAGGAGAGCGGAAUUCCACGUGUAGCGGUGAAAUGCGUAGAGAUGUGGAGGAACACCAGUGGCGAAGGCGGCUCUCUGGACUGUAACUGACGCUGAGGCGCGAAAGCGUGGGGAGCAAACAGGAUUAGAUACCCUGGUAGUCCACGCCGUAAACGAUGAGUGCUAGGUGUUGGGGGUAUCAUGCCCUCGGUGCCGAAGUUAACACAUUAAGCACUCCGCCUGGGGAGUACG
This 491-nucleotide ribosomal RNA is filed under the name uncultured Cohnella sp. Its description in RNAcentral is "bacterial SSU rRNA". It matches the Rfam family "Bacterial small subunit ribosomal RNA", at positions 399 to 884 of the family's 1533-position model. The record is from RNAcentral. Lineage: Bacteria; Bacillati; Bacillota; Bacilli; Caryophanales; Paenibacillaceae.